AUGUAUUUUUGUCCUAUCAAUUGCAAUAGACCGGAGGACGAAGGUCGGACUUACCUCCAGAAGGGGGUAUUCAGAGAUGAAAUCACUGUGAUAGGCGUCGGUGUUUGAGAAGAAGCCGCCUUUGAAGCAGAUCGAGUGUGUCUGAGUUCCGAAAGGCAGCACAAUCCCGAGGAUCACCUUCACGCCUCGACCUGGACCGGCUUCGUUUGGAAAUACGCCGAGCUCUUCUCUGGUAUAUCUGGAGAUCCCAGAAACGACCCUCGUGUUCCCAGCGAAGACCGCGCCACCAAACCCAGGAACCCUAAUCGCCUCAGCGGAGUCCACGAUCAGAAAUUAUAGCGAGCGGAACACUAAAAAGUUGGAAACUCGACGCGAUUCGAGUCGAUUUUACCUGUUAAUCGAUGCCCGCCGAAAACCCCGUCCCUCAAGAAAACUAUCGAUGGGGUUCUUUGAAGCCGGUGGUUCGGAAGGAGCGAUUGCAGGUGCUCUUCGCGACGGCCUCAGGCGUACUGCUCGAUGGAUUCACGAGAAAGAAGAUCCCUUGCUUCCUCCGCCGAUUCAAGCUGAAGCUCUCGCUCUGGUAGAGGAUUCGAUGUGCUUCAGAUCUAGAAGUAGAGACAACUUGUGGUGGAUGGCGUUUCUUGGACGAGGCAAUUAUUUACUUCUUUUGAUUCUGCCUUUUUGACCAAGACUACCAGAACAAUCCUUUCCUCGAAAUUGGCAAGACGACCCCCUAUAGACUUCACUUAUUAAUUCUUUUUGUUAUUAUAUUCUGUGGCCAAGCAAAUCAUAGUGGAAAUUAACUUUUUUACA
Long non-coding RNA from Eucalyptus grandis, 813 nucleotides. RefSeq lists it as uncharacterized. The transcript is spliced from 2 exons. The record is from RefSeq and is a predicted model, not a curated record. NCBI's taxonomy places the organism in Eukaryota, Viridiplantae, Streptophyta, Magnoliopsida, Myrtales, Myrtaceae.